AUUAGGACUGGCUCCAAAACACUUGUUGUUCUCAACUCUAACGAUGUCGCCAAGGAGGCUAUGGUGACAAGAUUCUCGUCGAUCUCAACAAGAAAGCUAUCAAAUGCAAUAAAGAUCCUUACUUGUGAUAAAAGCAUAGUUGCCCUGACUGAUUAUGGUGAAUUUCAUA
Non-coding RNA from Sesamum indicum (sesame), 169 nucleotides. Lineage: Eukaryota; Viridiplantae; Streptophyta; Magnoliopsida; Lamiales; Pedaliaceae. The record is from RefSeq and is a predicted model, not a curated record.